GUUAGGUGGGGUCAGUAUCCUUAAAUCGCCUCUCUUUUGAGUAGAGUUUACAGUUCAUAUAAUAGCAGAUCAGCAGGCUGUAGGUAAAAUAACGCUCAGAGGAAGAGUAUUAUGAGCUCCAAGCUUGCAAGUGCAGUUAUAAAAAAAAAAAAGUCAUCUGUUUAAACUUUAAUCCCCACCUUUGCUGGAAUUAAGGAGACAAGGAUGAACUUUUAGCUGCUCUUGCAUUUGAUAUGGCUGAGUGCAGGGCUGUAAAUUAGAAAAUAACAAAUAUUGCUGCUAGGUAGCAUUUGCAGCCCCCUGGGGCCUUCCUGGGGCUUUAUUGACCACUGCACAGGACUAUGUGCAAGGCAGCUCGGCCUGGACACCAGUAAAGGGGAGAGAUUUGCACAAGUGCCCAGAGGACUUUGCAAGGAGGCCUUCUCAUCUCUAGGUAGUGCCAAGCAUGGGUAACCAAGAGGGUAUUUUAUGAGCCUCCAGUGUCUACUUCAGUGUGGCUAAAGGUGCUCUUAAUUAGUUUUCUAUUCAGAGGCAUUAAAUUAACUUUACUUAAAAAUAUUGCUUACUUCAUUCAAUGAAGGAAAAUUGGAUUUAGAUUUAGAAUCUCUGUACAGAUGCAAAAUUAGCUGUAAAAUCUCACAUUUUUACCACAGCAUAUGGGCAAAGCAAAAAUGCAAAUGACUUUGCAGUUCUUGAUUUGAAUAUAAGUACUAUUGUGUCUGACACCAACAUACUUUUCCACUUUUUCAGUUCGAAGUUGAGGAGACAGAUGGGAGAGGUAAGGAAAUUAGAGUCAGAAUUGGCCUCCUCUAGGUCGUUAGUCCCCUCAGGUGGGAAUGCAUCUCAUUUAGGAUGGGCCAGUGUCAGAGCCAAGCAGAUCAAGGUCUUGCUUUUUCAGUCAAAUACAUGAAGAGAGAGAAAGAUCACUGAGCAGGGAGGCCUGAGACUUUGAUAAGCCCUUUCUCAUGGGUGAGCCUAAAAAAUAAAGGAUCUUGAGCCUAGAUCAUGUCUAAAUCUCCUUCCAAGUCUAAAUCAUGCUUAUAAAUGACCAUUUUCUGUAUUAUUUCUUAUUACCCUAAAAUUUAGGGAAAAAUUUAUCUCACAAAACUCUGCACAGAAUCCAAACAUAAUAAACUCUUAUUUAUCUAAAAUCUAAAUACCUUGGAAGUUCAAAUAAUCAGAACAGUUUUUGUGAAACCAGAUAAUGUUCACAAUAAUGGUUGCUAUGUUGUACAAUGUACUAAAUUAGCUUCAGAAUCAUAAAGAAAAGAUUAAUUGCUGUUCAGUUUGGUUUUAUAAAGAGUGUUCUAAUUCUCUUCCAGGGAAAUUCUCAGGAAUGAGAAACAAAUCAGAGCAGGUCAGAAAAGAUUAAACAGCCUCCAUUAUUCCACCAGAUUCUGUCACCCUCAACAGAGAGGUUGUGGCUGGCAUUGAUUUUUUUUUCUGAUAAAUCAGAAUAUUGUCAGGCCAGGAACAAGAAGAAAAGAGUCACUGACAGCUUUAUUUCUUGGGAUCUUGAAGGACUGACCCAACUUAGAGAUUACACAGCUAUCCAGUAAAGACACUCAGAGCGUACCACAGGCUAAGCGCUCAGCAGACACUGAGUACGUGCUGAUGGAGAAAAUGGCAGAGACAAAGACCAGAGUAAUGUUGGAAAGACACAUGUUGAGGACAAGAGAGUGACAUCAUCCUGAGUUUCUAUGUGACUGUACAGAACAAAGACAACUCUCUGCCGCCUCCCCCAGUCCCCAGCCUGGAACUUAUUCCCUGGACGGCAGUAGGAGAAAUAAACCUUGACUACAUUUAAGCUAAAGUAUUUUGGGUCCAUUUCUUAUAGGGUUUUAGCUUAAUCUAAUUAAUACAUAGUUGAAAACCAAUAUAUUGUAUAGAAGAAUUUGAAUUGUAUUAGAGUUCCUAGAUGCGAUAAAACCUAAUCUGGGUGUUAAUUAGUAACAAUUGCAAAUAAUUUAGAGAUUUAAUGUGCCAGGAACUGUGCCAAGAAACAACAUGUACUAUCUAAUUGUCACAAUAGCCCUUUACAUUAUGUGUUAUUGAACCUUAACUUUGCCCGUGAAUUAAGUUUAGAACAGCCAUGUAUACAGCUACAAUGGAUGGUAGGCCCAUAAUCUGAACACAUCUACCUCUGCCUAUGAAGUCGGUGUAUGCUGGUGGGGGCUAGUGUAAAGGAAAGGCAUGUAGGUGUGUGUUAUGGGGCAGGUUGGGGCUGGGUGUGACAAUAGCUGUAGGACUUGUCCUUUCCAGUAAUAUUCUUAUAGAAAAAGAGUUCCCUUUGCUCUCCUGUUCUUCAAGCCAGUCUUGACUUCUGAAAUCUGAACUGCUCUUUUUUCCAUCAAUGCUAUGGCAAUGGGAGAACCCAGAAUAAAUUAUCUAGGUAUUUAGAGCUGAAAAAGGAGCCAAAAACCUAGCCCUCACCAACCAGCAUGCCCACUCCCAAACAGGAGCCCAGACAAUCUGAGGGACCACUAAAUAGAGAGCAUAGGGCAAUUAAAUGGAUGACCCUUCCUUUGGAGAAGGAACCCCAGAAGGAUCACAGGCUGAGAGGCAGAAAUUUGGGCCACAGAACAGAAGAAGAAGCCCAGUCAAAGGCAAAUAAAUAACCAUUGUUCAAGAUUACCAACUGCUAGCAUUGAUAAUCAAGAGGUAACUGUAAGUCUUCCUUUUUUUUGCAUCCAGAUGGUCCAGGAGGAAGUCAAAGCAAAUAAAUACAUAUACGCCUGGGUAUGUCUAAAUACAUUUAUUUCCAAGAACUACUAGGUGUUGAGAAACCAUGCAGAGUUUUGAAUAGAGGAGGUGGACAUCAACUGCAGGUAUGGACAGUAUUUCCAGUGUUGUCUUUGAGCUAACAUGUUUAAAGUGUUAGAACUGGUCUUUUUAUUUUUAAUGGAGGACAUUUAUAAGUCAUUUCUAUUGCAAAUGGUUCAGUGGCUCAGACUGACAUUCAAUAGCUAAAUAGAGCCUUCUGCUUAGCCAGCUGUACUCCAAGACACCCCCACUUGAAGCCCUUCUCAGAAGCCUGCAGUUCUCCUUAACCAGCAGUGACAGUCAGAAACCAAAGAGGUUAAGGCCCCUCAAACUGCAAGCACCAAAUGCUUUCACUUCGGAAGCAUAACAGCAACAGAAACAGUGGGUGUCCUAAGUGCUGUUUGCCAAAAAUGCUUGUUCCUGCCUUCCAGGCGUGUGAUGGGUGGCACUUCCUGGCCCCUGGGUGGCUAAGUGUGGCUGUGUAACUCAUUCUGGCCAGUGAGGUAGGCGCACAGGUGAUAGUGCUGCCUUCAGUCUGGAGCAUUUAACUGCUGGGGCAGGACUCUCCAGACUUCUCGUUCCUCUGUCAGAGCAAGUGGCAAGUUUGAGUCAGUGAUUACUCCAUGAGAGACAUGCACCUUGAGCAAUAAAUAGCUUUUAAUUAUUUCACACUGCUGGGAUUUUGUAGUUAUUUCUUACUCUUACAGUUAUUUUUGCAGUAUGAGCUCACUUUUCCUGAUAGGUAACCAUAAUUAAAUCACAUUAAGUGCUUACCCACACCUAACUGUAACCAGAACCCUAACUCUAAUCCUAACUGUAACACUGAACCCUAAACCUGACUCUAAUUGUAACUGACAUUCAAUAGCUAAAUAUUGUUACCCUAAACAUAAUGCUAACCUUAACCAUAACUCUAACCUUAAAGGUCACCCAUAACCUGGGGCCCAAACCAGAAAUCCUGAUCCUGAAGCCCCAAAAUCC
Long non-coding RNA from Manis pentadactyla (Chinese pangolin), 3741 nucleotides. RefSeq lists it as uncharacterized. Lineage: Eukaryota; Metazoa; Chordata; Mammalia; Pholidota; Manidae. The record is from RefSeq and is a predicted model, not a curated record. The transcript is spliced from 4 exons.